ACGGGUGAGUAACGCGUGGGAAUCUACCCAUCUCUACGGAACAACUCCGGGAAACUGGAGCUAAUACCGUAUACGUCCUUUUGGAGAAAGAUUUAUCGGAGAUGGAUGAGCCCGCGUUGGAUUAGCUAGUUGGUGGGGUAAUGGCCUACCAAGGCGACGAUCCAUAGCUGGUCUGAGAGGAUGAUCAGCCACACUGGGACUGAGACACGGCCCAGACUCCUACGGGAGGCAGCAGUGGGGAAUAUUGGACAAUGGGCGCAAGCCUGAUCCAGCCAUGCCGCGUGAGUGAUGAAGGCCCUAGGGUUGUAAAGCUCUUUCAACGGUGAAGAUAAUGACGGUAACCGUAGAAGAAGCCCCGGCUAACUUCGUGCCAGCAGCCGCGGUAAUACGAAGGGGGCUAGCGUUGUUCGGAAUUACUGGGCGUAAAGCGCACGUAGGCGGAUUGUUAAGUUAGGGGUGAAAUCCCAGGGCUCAACCCUGGAACUGCCUUUAAUACUGGCAAUCUCGAGUCCGAGAGAGGUGAGUGGAAUUCCGAGUGUAGAGGUGAAAUUCGUAGA
This 557-nucleotide ribosomal RNA is filed under the name Mesorhizobium sp. RDB-130. RNAcentral's name for it is "bacterial SSU rRNA". It matches the Rfam family "Bacterial small subunit ribosomal RNA", at positions 102 to 694 of the family's 1533-position model. Lineage: Bacteria; Pseudomonadati; Pseudomonadota; Alphaproteobacteria; Hyphomicrobiales; Phyllobacteriaceae. The record is from RNAcentral.